GUUUUACAUUAUCACGUUUCAGACAUAUAUCUAUCAACCUAGUAGCAACCGGUCAUCUGUCGGGUCUGAAUUAAGCGUGGGACCAACGGUCUAUGAUUACAUUGAUACAGACUCUAAGUUUGAGAUACAACGACCAAAUGUCCGCCUCGGGCACCUCAACAAGUUUUAAAGAAUUAGAUGUUGUAAAUUUUUGGAUUAUUGUUGGUUCAUGAAGAUACUGAUGAAAAGGUUUCAACCGCCUAGAGAAUUUUCGGAACACUAUUUAUAGAGUUAUUUUAAUUAGAUUUUUUGAGAAAUAUAACUGGAUGUUUUAGGAUUGAUUACCAUACAGUAAACAUCAACUGAUUUUAGCGAAUAUACAAUCUGUAAUCCAUGAAAAGAGUAUUGUAUCGUAUGUAUAGUUAUACCCCCACCACAAAAUGGGGGGGGGGGGGCUAUAAUGGAUUCGCUUUGUCGCGUCGGUCGGUCGGUCGGUCCGUCCGUCGGUCGGUCCGUCUCCAUUUUCGUGUCCUCUCUAUAACUCCUAUACCAAUUGAAGGAUUUUCUUCAAACUUGGCUCAAAUGUUCAUCUCAACAAGGGGAUGUGCAGAACCCAUAUUGCCCAUGUGUCAGUUCAAGGUCAAGGUCACAAUUGAAGGUCAAAUAUCAAACACUAUCAAAUAUUACACAGUAUGUCGUGUCCGCUCUGUAAGUCCUACACUACUUGAAAGAUUUUCUUCAAACUUGGCUCAAAUGUUCACCUCAACCAGGGGAUGUGCAGAACCCAUGUCGCCCAUGUGUCAGCUCAAGGUCAAGGUCACAAUUGAAGGUCAAAUAUCAAACAAUUAAAUAUUACACAGUAUGUCGUGUCCGCUCUGUAAGUCCUACACUACUUGAAAGAUUUUCUUCAAACUUGGCUCAAAUGUUCACCUCAACAAGAGGAUGUGCAGAACUCAUGUUGCCCAUGUGCCAUCUCAAGGUCAAGGUCACAAUUGAAGGUCAAAUAUCAAACAAUCAAAUAUUACACAUUAUGUUGUGUCCGCUCUGUAAGUCCUACACUUAUUGAAAGAUUUUCUUCAAACUUGGCUCAAAUAUUCACCUCAACAAGGGGAUGUGCAGAAUCAAUGUUGUCCAUGUGUCAGCUCAAGGUCAAGGUCACAAUUGAAGGUCAAAUAUCAAACAAUCUAAUAUUACACAGUAUGUCAUGUCCGCUCUGUAAGUCCUACACUAAUUGAAAGAUUUUCUUCAAUCUUGGCUCAAAUGAUCAUCUCAACCAGGGGAUGUGCAGAACUUAUGUCACUUUUUUGCUGGCUUAAGGUCACGGUCACACUUUAAGGUCAAAAAUUGACUUACAAAAUAUUCUUAAAUUUUAACAUUUAUUUGAAUAUUUCUAAACCUAGAAAAGGUAUUUGCUUGAAACUUAAAAUAUUUUUGAAGGGUCACAAUUCCGAUAUGCUGUUCGUUCAAGUUUCAUAACUCUGUAUUGCAUUUUACCAAAGUUAUGCCCCUUUUUAAGUCUUCAAAUUUACAUACAAUCAAAUAUUAGAUAAUAUGUUGUGUCCGCUCUAUAAAUCCUAUACUAAUGGAAGAAUUUUCUUCAAACUUUACUCAAAUUUUCACCUCAACAAGGUUAUGUGCAGAAUCCAUGUCACCUUUGUGCCGGCUAAAGGUCAAGGUCACACUUGAAAGUAAAAAAAUGACUUAGAAAAUGUUCUUAAAUUUUAACAUAUACUUGAAUAAUUCUGAAACUAGCGCAGGCAUUUGCUUGAAACUUUAAAGAUAUAUGAGGUGUGGCAAAUAAGAUAUGCAGGUCAAGUUUCAUUACUCUGUAUUUCAUUUUUACAAAGUUAUGCCCCUUUUUAAGUCUUCAAAUUUACAUACAACCACUACUAGACAAUAUAUUGUGUCUACUCUAUAAAUUCUAUACUAUUGGAAGGAUUUUCUUCAAACUUUACUCAAAUGUUCAACCAAACUGGGUGAUUUGCAAAACCCAUCUUACCCUUGUGCCAAAUUAAGGUCAAGGCCACACUUGAAGGUCAAAAAUUGACUUAUAAAUAAAAUGUUUAAUACAUUGGGAAAAUGAAAGGUUAUUUGUAACUGUUUCGAACAUGAUUUGAUAAUAUAUAUUUAUACUAUUACCUGUACAAUUAGUCUUUUUUCACCAGAGAAAAUUUCUUUUUAUGUAUUUGUGCCACAUAAGUUAUUCCUUUAACCACCUUUCCAAGUGGUCUUCUGUCAAAGACAUUGGUGGGGGUAUGAAUCGCAUUCAGCGAUAGUUCUAGUUCAAAAUGUAAAAAAGUGUCAUAACUAUUUUAUUUAUAGCUUUACUAUCAAAUUCCGCUAUUAUCACAUUUUUUUUGCUGUUUAAUCAUGUUGAUAAUUUGUUAAUCAGAUAUGCAAUUGGUCACCAUUAUGCUACAUGUAUAAGCUGCAUUGAGAGUGACAUUAUAAUGAAGAAAUUUGAACAGAUUUUAUUUCUCAUUGUACACUUUUUUCAACACUCAUUGCGAUAUAUUGUUUGUGUUUAUUUUGUGUGUUGAUAAUGUCUAUAUUCACCUAGUUUAUAUUUCUGCGUAAUGUCACUUCUAUCACGCUGUUAUUUUCCACAAUUAUUUAACUGUGAUUUGAAGAGGUAGAAACAACACAACACUUAAGUUUUAUGUGUAACUGUCUUUUCUAUGUAUACUUUAUAAUAAUACUAUCACUGUUUUAUCAUAUUCUGCUGUCAAGUUCUGCUAAGUGUUAAGAAUAAAACUUGACACAAGUGGUUCAGUGUAUCAAACAGACCCCUUCUUCCAAAAGUCAAAGUCACACGUAAAAGCCAAAUUGUAAAAAAGUCAAUUCCAUGUCUGCUGCACAGCCUAUUGGCUACUCGGAAUGAUUUUUUUUAAAUAACGUGAAAUAAAUGAUAACCAAUAUAAUAUGAUGUGCAAGCCAUGUCACUAAGGUAAAGGUCACUAAAACUGUUUUAUUCUUAAGUAGAUUUUGAAUAAAUUGGGACCAAAUAAUCACUAUUACGCAAUCGAAGUACGCACGAAGUGCACAGAACAACAACAAUGUUUUUCCCAAAAUGUCAAGGUCUGUCAAAUGUUUAAAACCCACAUCCGUAUCUGCUUCGACAGGGGAUAAGGUUUUUUAAGACCGUCGUGUAUAAUAAGCUUCUCUUCGUAUUAUAUAUUCAUAUAAACAUUUUUCCACGUUGUCCAUACCAUUACUAACGACAAUUUGUUUAAGCUCACAGAGCUUAAGCACAAGGCAAAGGCCUGUCGAUCAGACGUCCGUAUUCCAUUUAAAAGUUCAUAGUCAUCAAACAUUUUAAGAAUAAGUAUCUAAGCGACUCCUCGAAAGAGGUUGAUGAUGGGUCAAAUGAAAGAAAUAUUUAACAAUCUAAAUAUUUUAAUUGUUUGUUAAUUUUUUAUUUGUCAAAACGGCGACAAAUAGGGGUCAAUUUCUCUUCGUCUGUCUGUUACAAGACAUGUGCAGACUAUCCUAAAAAACUACUAGUGCAAUUUCAUCCAAACUCAAAGUUCACAGGAAUGAUCAGUACCAAGUCUUGUUGUGUAUGUCGUCAGCGUUUUCCGGUUCAAUGAUUUGUGUCCCUUUAAUUAUUUGAUUUUUUUAAGGUUGAUAAGACUACUUCUCUUAUACCACUAAAGCAAUUUCAAUAAAACGUUACAAGGGUGUUCUGUAGCUCAAUUAUUUGUGCUUAUUACACGGGUUUUCUAGUUGAAUGAUUUUUAGCUGAGAAAUAGCACUUUAAUAAAAAUGUGUUUUGUGAUUCCAGCUACACUGAAUCUUGUCCGGACUACUUCUUAGAAACAACUGAUGCAGUGUCAUCCAAACUUUACAGGAAUGAUCAAUACUAAAGUCUAGUUGUGCAUAAAAUUGACUCAAAACUAGGUCACCAGGCUCAAGAAAAACCUUUUUUAUUGUCACAGAUUUGAUUUAACAUUCCUUUUAGAAAUGUAAAUGUAGUGAUAAAAGAAGGUUAAAAACAACUUCACCGGGUCAAAUUGAAGAAAAACAUUUAAUUUAACAAAGGUGAUAAAAGCCUUCGUUAAAAGUCUAGAGUAGAUUUGAUCUAUACUCCGGGCUAUCUUUGCAUGUUUAUAUCAAUGCAGGAGUUCGAAAAUUCAUCUAUGAUUAAAAAAUAGUUAUUAGAUAGAUUGAAUCAAUAAAAUCUUUGUUUUACAUUGUAAAAGUGGUCAUAAUUCUCAUUUGAUCAUCCAAGCUCAUCGGAAUUUUUUCUGCUUGAUAUUUUGGUAAGGUUAAAAAAAAUGACAUCAAAGGUUUAAAAAUGUAAGACAUGAAGACAAAUGAAGGAAAACCUUGGACUCACAGUUUUCUUUUAAAUCAUAUUACAUGUACACAUCGCACUUUUCGUAUUAGUGUCUUAUUAAGUCUUGACAAUAUUAAAGUUUGGUACACUGUGGUCAAAACUUGGGUCGCAAUAUCAAAUUCUUGAUCAAAUUCUUGAGGCCUUAUAGAAGAAACAAUUUUAAUUGAAUCUUAUAAUUGUAUUUUGCAAAUACGAAUAAGUGUUUAGAUAAAACUUUACAAUAACACUAUGGUGAGCGAACAAAAGUCAACAUUUUCCUUAUGUAUUGCAAAGAUAUUGAUUAAUUUUCUGAGUAAUGGGUUGGCAUUUUCAGAAUUUUGAUUUGUAUAGUCUAGUUUGAUUCAAUAUUUAAAAUUAUUGCUAUAUCGUCUAGUAUUUUAAUUAUGAUGGCUUCUUCAUUUCUUAUGCAUCUGUGUAAAUUGAUUAAAUUGAAGGAUGCAAAUUUCUCAGUCUGUGUCAAUAACUUUAUAAUCAGAAGAGUGAGUGAGUUUUACAGGAAAAAUGAACAGUUUUGUUUUAUCCAAUAAACAGAUAUAAAUGAUAAA
This is a long non-coding RNA of Ruditapes philippinarum (Manila clam), 4863 nucleotides long. RefSeq lists it as uncharacterized. The record is from RefSeq and is a predicted model, not a curated record. The transcript has 2 exons. Lineage: Eukaryota; Metazoa; Mollusca; Bivalvia; Venerida; Veneridae.